AGCGAACGCUGGCGGCAGGCCUAACACAUGCAAGUCGAACGAACUCUUCGGAGUUAGUGGCGGACGGGUGAGUAACACGUGGGAACGUGCCUUUAGGUUCGGAAUAACUCAGGGAAACUUGAGCUAAUACCGGAUGUGCCCUUCGGGGGAAAGAUUUAUCGCCUUUAGAGCGGCCCGCGUCUGAUUAGCUAGUUGGUGAGGUAAAGGCUCACCAAGGCGACGAUCAGUAGCUGGUCUGAGAGGAUGAUCAGCCACAUUGGGGCUGAGACACGGCCCAAACUCCUACGGGAGGCAGCAGUGGGGAAUCUUGCGCAAUGGGCGAAAGCCUGACGCAGCCAUGCCGCGUGAAUGAUGAAGGUCUUAGGAUUGUAAAAUUCUUUCACCGGGGACGAUAAUGACGGUACCCGGAGAAGAAGCCCCGGCUAACUUCGUG
This 433-nucleotide ribosomal RNA is filed under the name uncultured bacterium. RNAcentral's name for it is "partial 16S ribosomal RNA". It matches the Rfam family "Bacterial small subunit ribosomal RNA", at positions 29 to 507 of the family's 1533-position model. The record is from RNAcentral.